RNAcentral lists this ribosomal RNA (253 nucleotides) under uncultured bacterium. Its description in RNAcentral is "partial 16S ribosomal RNA". It matches the Rfam family "Bacterial small subunit ribosomal RNA", at positions 524 to 776 of the family's 1533-position model. The record is from RNAcentral.
UACGUAGGGAGCAAGCGUUGUCCGGAAUCAUUGGGCGUAAAGCGCGCGUAGGUGGCUUCGUAAGUCCGUUGUGAAAGUCAAAGGCUCAACCUUUGAAAGCCGAUGGAUACUGCAGGGCUGGAGUCCGGAAGAGGCGAGUGGAAUUCCUGGUGUAGCGGUGAAAUGCGCAGAUAUCAGGAGGAACACCGAUGGCGAAGGCAGGUCUCUGGGCCACUACUGACGCUGAGAAGCGAAAGCAUGGGGAGCAAACAGG